UGGGGGAUAUUGCACAAUGGGCGAAAGCCUGAUGCAGCGACGCCGCGUGGGGGUGAAGGCCUUCGGGUUGUAAACCUCUUUUGCUCUGAAACAGGCCCACCAUGGGGGGUGGUGAGGGUAGGGGUUGAUUAGCGCCGGCUAACUACGUUCCAGCAGCCGCGGUAAUACGUAGGGCGCGAGCGUUGUCCGGAAUUAUUGGGCGUAAAGGGCUUGUAGGUGGCUGGUUGCGUCUGUCGUGAAAGCUCAUGGCUUAACUGUGGGUUUGCGGUGGGUACGGGCUGGCUUGAGUGCAGUAGGGGAGGCUGGAAUUCCUGGUGUAGCGGUGGAAUGCGCAGAUAUCAGGAGGAAUACCGGUGGCGAAGGCGGGUCUCUGGGCUGUUACUGACACUGAGGAGCGAAAGCAUGGGGAGCGAACAGG
Molecule: ribosomal RNA, 418 nt
Filed under: bacterium
Lineage: Bacteria
Description: partial 16S ribosomal RNA
Rfam family: Bacterial small subunit ribosomal RNA
Source: RNAcentral